GACGAACGCUGGCGGCGUGCCUAAUACAUGCAAGUUGAGCGCUGAAGCUUGGUACUUGUACCAACUGGAUGAGCAGCUAACGGGUGAGUAACGCGUGGGGAAUCUGCCUUUUAUCGGGGGACAACAUUUGGGAACGAAUGCUAAUACCGCAUAAAAACUUUAAACACAAGUUUUAAGUUUGAAAGAUGCAAUUGCAUCACUCAUAGAUGAUUCCGCGUUGUAUUAGCUAGUUGGUGAGGGAAAGGCUCACCAAGGCGAUGAUACAUAGUCUACCUGAGAGGGUGAUCGGCCACAUUGGGACUGGGACACGGCCCAAACUCCUACGGGAGGCAGCAGUAGGGAAUCUUUGGAAAUGGACGAAAGUCUGACCGAGCAAAGACGCGUGAGUGAAGAAGGUUUUCGGAUCGUAAAACUCUGUUGGUAGAGAAGAAAGAUGGUGAGAGUGGAAAGCUCAUCAAGUGACGGUAACUACACAGAAAGGGACGGCUAACUACGUG
Molecule: ribosomal RNA, 497 nt
Filed under: uncultured bacterium
Lineage: Bacteria
Description: partial 16S ribosomal RNA
Rfam family: Bacterial small subunit ribosomal RNA
Source: RNAcentral